This is a non-coding RNA of Xylaria intraflava, 84 nucleotides long. NCBI's taxonomy places the organism in Eukaryota, Fungi, Ascomycota, Sordariomycetes, Xylariales, Xylariaceae. The record is from the annotation of a GenBank genome assembly.
GCCCGGUUAGCUCAAUCGGUAGAGCGUGAGACUCUUAAUCUCAAGGUUGCGGGUAAGUCUCAGAUUCGAUCCAUGGAUAUGCUA